UCAAGUGAAUAAGUGCAUAUGGUGGAUGCCUUGGCGAUUACAGGCGAUGAAGGACGUGAUAGCCUGCGAAAAGCUUCGGGGAGCUGGCAAAUAAGCUUUGAUCCGGAGAUGUCCGAAUGGGGAAACCCGGCCGCAAGGUCAUUCCCUCCUGAAUACAUAGGGAGGGUAAAGCAAACCUGGUGAACUGAAACAUCUAAGUAGCCAGAGGAAAAUAAAUCAACCGAGAUUCCGUAAGUAGUGGCGAGCGAACAUGGAACAGCCUGUUAGUUUUAGCAUGUGCGAUAGUAGAACGGAAUGGAAAGUCCGGCCAUAGAGGGUGAUAGCCCCUUAUACGAAAUCCCGCGUGUGGAACUAAGCUAACGACAAGUAGGGCGGGGCACGAGAAACCUUGUCUGAACAUGGGGGGACCAUCCUCCAAGGCUAAAUACUCGUAAUCGACCGAUAGUGAACUAGUACCGUGAGGGAAAGGCGAAAAGAACCCCGGGAGGGGAGUGAAAUAGAUCCUGAAACCGUAUGCAUACAAACAGUGGGAGCCCUUACUUCAAGUAUCUUUAGAUGCUUUUGUGGAGUGUUGCGUCAGCAAUGCGUCUUGAGAGAUAUUUAUUGAUUGAAGUCUAUAGCGAUAUAGAGAGACAUCCGCGAGGGUGCUUGAAGUAGGGGUGACUGCGUACCUUUUGUAUAAUGGGUCAGCGACUUACAUUCAGUAGCAAGCUUAACCGAUAGGGGAGGCGUAGCGAAAGCGAGUCCGAAUAGGGCGUACAGUUGCUGGGUGUAGACCCGAAACCAAGUGAUCUAUCCAUGGCCAGGUUGAAGGUGCCGUAACAGGUACUGGAGGACCGAACCCACUAAUGUUGAAAAAUUAGGGGAUGAGCUGUGGAUAGGGGUGAAAGGCUAAUCAAACUUGGAGAUAGCUGGUUCUCUCCGAAAACUAUUUAGGUAGUGCCUCGUAUAUCAUUCUCGGGGGUAGAGCACUGUUAUGGCUAGGGGGUACAUACGUACUUACCAAACCAUUGCAAACUCCGAAUACCGAGAAAUGCAAUUACGGGAGACAGACUGCGGGUGCUAACGUCCGUAGUCGAGAGGGAAACAACCCAGACCGACAGCUAAGGUCCCAAAUGACGUGCUAAGUGGUAAACGAAGUGGGAAGGCAUAGACAGCCAGGAGGUUGGCUUAGAAGCAGCCAUCCUUUAAAGAAAGCGUAAUAGCUCACUGGUCGAGUCGUCCUGCGCGGAAAAUGUAACGGGGCUAAGCACGUAACCGAAGCUUCGGAUGCCAUAUUUAUAUGGCAUGGUAGGAGAGCGUUCUGUAGGCCUGUGAAGGUGUGCUGUCAGGCAUGCUGGAGGUAUCAGAAGUGCGAAUGCUGACAUGAGUAGCGAUAAAGGGGGUGAAAAGCCCGAAAGCCCAAGGUUUCCUGCGCAACGUUCAUCGGCGCAGGGUGAGUCGGCCCCUAAGGUGAGGCAGAGAUGCGUAGCUGAUGGGAAACGGUUUAAUAUUACCGUACCUCGAUACAAUGCGAUGUGGGGACGGAGAAGGUUAGGUCAGCCGGGUGUUGGAUAUCCCGGUUCAAGCGUGUAGUCAGACUUCUUAGGUAAAUCCGGGAGGUUGUUAAUGACGAGGCGUGAUAACGAGUCUACUUGUAGACGAAGUGAUUGAUACCAUGCUUCCAAGAAAAGCCACUAAGCUUCAGUUGUAUCAGACCGUACCGCAAACCAACACAGGUGGGCAGGAUGAGAAUUCUAAGGCGCUUGAGAGAACCCGGGAGAAGGAACUCGGCAAAUUAACACCGUAACUUCGGGAGAAGGUGUGCCCCGGUAGCGUGAAGAGAUUUACUCUCGGAGCGUGAUGGGGUUGCAGUGAAAAGGUGGCUGCGACUGUUUAAUAAAAACAUAGCACUCUGCUAACACGAAAGUGGACGUAUAGGGUGUGACGCCUGCCCGGUGCUGGAAGAUUAAAUGAUGGGGUGCAAGCUCUUGAUUGAAGUCCCAGUAAACGGCGGCCGUAACUAUAACGGUCCUAAGGUAGCGAAAUUCCUUGUCGGGUAAGUUCCGACCCGCACGAAUGGCGUAACGA
RNAcentral lists this ribosomal RNA (2070 nucleotides) under marine sediment metagenome. RNAcentral's name for it is "bacterial LSU rRNA". It matches the Rfam family "Bacterial large subunit ribosomal RNA", at positions 3 to 2007 of the family's 2925-position model. The record is from RNAcentral.